RNAcentral lists this ribosomal RNA (432 nucleotides) under uncultured bacterium. Its description in RNAcentral is "partial 16S ribosomal RNA". It matches the Rfam family "Bacterial small subunit ribosomal RNA", at positions 29 to 506 of the family's 1533-position model. The record is from RNAcentral.
AACGAACGCUGGCGGCAUGCCUAACACAUGCAAGUCGAACGAGACCUUCGGGUCUAGUGGCGCACGGGUGCGUAACGCGUGGGAACCUGCCCUUAGGUUCGGAAUAACUCCCCGAAAGGGGUGCUAAUACCGGAUAAUGUCUUCGGACCAAAGAUUUAUCGCCUUUGGAUGGGCCCGCGUUGGAUUAGCUAGUUGGUAGGGUAAAAGCCUACCAAGGCGACGAUCCAUAGCUGGUCUGAGAGGAUGAUCAGCCACACUGGGACUGAGACACGGCCCAGACCCCUACGGGGGGGAGGAGGGGGGAAUAUGGGACAAGGGGCGAAAGCCUGAUCCAGCAAUGCCGGGGGAGUGAUGAAGGCCUUAGGGUUGUAAAGCUCUUUUACCCGGGAUGAUAAUGACAGUACCGGGAAAAUAAGCCCCGGCUAACUCCGU